CUGGGGCCUCCCUCUGGAUGGGCCUGCGCUGACAGUCCCAGCUGGCAGCAGCUCGCGGGGCAGGCAGCUGGGGCCGUGAGGCCGCGGCACAUCAGGUACGAGGGGAUCUGGGACGGGGGAUGGGGAGUGGCGGGCAGGUCCCCAACCCUCAGCACCCAAUUUCAUCUGCCCCUCAGCCUCUCCCCAUCCCUGUCCCCAACCCAGCAUCCUUCCCAGUCCUGCUUUUGGCUUUUCACAUUUGAAACUCCGUACACCCAUCGCGCCUGAGUUUGCUGAGCCUCUCCCCAAACCGGACCACCGCGGUUUCAUUGCUCCCCCACAAUUCCCCCUCCACUGCAUCCUUCAGUCCCCACAGGAGCAGGCCCCCAGCGCCCAGCUGCCCGGCCGCCAUGCACAAGCAUUACAAAGUCCACUUCGCCAAGGACGCCCAGACCCCUAGCGGGCACUACUUCUGGGACCCAGAGCUGGGGCACCAAAAAGGAUGCUGUCAUCCGCGGCGCCAGGACUCAGCAGCCCUCCGAGCCCAUGGGCCCUGUCGGCCUUCCCCCCAGUCACAUUGGCAGCUGGCCUACCACAGCCACCGAGCGGGUGGCAGUGGCUGGCGCCAGGCCCC
Molecule: long non-coding RNA, 613 nt
Filed under: Aotus nancymaae (Ma's night monkey)
Lineage: Eukaryota; Metazoa; Chordata; Mammalia; Primates; Aotidae
Description: lncRNA (ENSANAG00000038979.1)
Source: RNAcentral